RNAcentral lists this ribosomal RNA (482 nucleotides) under uncultured bacterium. RNAcentral describes it as "partial 16S ribosomal RNA". It matches the Rfam family "Bacterial small subunit ribosomal RNA", at positions 30 to 507 of the family's 1533-position model. The record is from RNAcentral.
AUUGAACGCUGGCGGCAGGCCUAACACAUGCAAGUCGAGCGGAUGAAGGGAGCUUGCUCCUGGAUUCAGCGGCGGACGGGUGAGUAAUGCCUAGGAAUCUGCCUGGUAGUGGGGGAUAACGUCCGGAAACGGGCGCUAAUACCGCAUACGUCCUGAGGGAGAAAGUGGGGGAUCUUCGGACCUCACGCUAUCAGAUGAGCCUAGGUCGGAUUAGCUAGUUGGUGGGGUAAAGGCCUACCAAGGCGACGAUCCGUAACUGGUCUGAGGAUGAUCAGUCACACUGGAACUGAGACACGGUCCAGACUCCUACGGGAGGCAGCAGUGGGGAAUAUUGGACAAUGGGCGAAAGCCUGAUCCAGCCAUGCCGCGUGUGUGAAGAAGGUCUUCGGAUUGUAAAGCACUUUAAGUUGGGAGGAAGGGCAGUAAGUUAAUACCUGGCUGUUUUGACGUUACCAACAGAAUAAGCACCGGCUAACUUCGUG